UGCCAGCAGCCGCGGUAAUACAGAGGGUGCGAGCGUUAAUCGGAUUUACUGGGCGUAAAGCGUGCGUAGGCGGCUUCGUAAGUUGGAUGUGAAGUCCCCGAGCUUAACUUGGGAAUUGCAUUCGAUACUGGUUGGCUAGAGUAUGGGAGAGGAUGGUAGAAUUCCAGGUGUAGCGGUGAAAUGCGUAGAGAUCUGGAGGAAUACCGAUGGCGAAGGCAGCCAUCUGGCCUAAUACUGACACUGAGGUGCGAAAGCAUGGGGAGCAAACAGGAUUAGAUA
RNAcentral lists this ribosomal RNA (279 nucleotides) under uncultured bacterium. RNAcentral describes it as "partial 16S ribosomal RNA". It matches the Rfam family "Bacterial small subunit ribosomal RNA", at positions 506 to 784 of the family's 1533-position model. The record is from RNAcentral.